GCCGGGGUGGCGGAAUUGGUAGACGCGCCGGAUUCAAAAUCCGGUUCCUUUGCGGGAGUGAGAGUUCGAUUCUCUCCCUCGGCACCA
This 87-nucleotide transfer RNA is filed under the name Marinicella pacifica. Its description in RNAcentral is "tRNA-Leu". It matches the Rfam family "tRNA". From Rfam's summary of the family: Transfer RNA (tRNA) molecules are approximately 80 nucleotides in length. Their secondary structure includes four short double-helical elements and three loops (D, anti-codon, and T loops). Lineage: Bacteria; Pseudomonadati; Pseudomonadota; Gammaproteobacteria; Lysobacterales; Marinicellaceae. RNAcentral also lists the same sequence under 2 other names. The record is from RNAcentral.